UCCCUGGUGGCUCAGAUGGUUAAGCAUCUGUCUACAAUGCAGGAGACCCAGGUUCAGUCCCUGGGUUGGGAA
RNAcentral lists this transfer RNA (72 nucleotides) under Bos taurus (domestic cattle). It matches the Rfam family "tRNA". From Rfam's summary of the family: Transfer RNA (tRNA) molecules are approximately 80 nucleotides in length. Their secondary structure includes four short double-helical elements and three loops (D, anti-codon, and T loops). The record is from Rfam by way of RNAcentral. Lineage: Eukaryota; Metazoa; Chordata; Mammalia; Artiodactyla; Bovidae.